UGGCUCAGAUUGAACGCUGGCGGCAGGCCUAACACAUGCAAGUCGAACGGUAACAGGAAGCAGCUUGCUGCUUUGCUGACGAGUGGCGGACGGGUGAGUAAUGUCUGGGAAACUGCCUGAUGGAGGGGGAUAACUACUGGAAACGGUAGCUAAUACCGCAUAACGUCGCAAGACCAAAGAGGGGGACCUUAGGGCCUCUUGCCAUCGGAUGUGCCCAGAUGGGAUUAGCUAGUAGGUGGGGUAACGGCUCACCUAGGCGACGAUCCCUAGCUGGUCUGAGAGGAUGACCAGCCACACUGGAACUGAGACACGGUCCAGACUCCUACGGGAGGCAGCAGUGGGGAAUAUUGCACAAUGGGCGCAAGCCUGAUGCAGCCAUGCCGCGUGUAUGAAGAAGGCCUUCGGGUUGUAAAGUACUUUCAGCGGGGAGGAAGGGAGUAAAGUUAAUACCUUUGCUCAUUGACGUUACCCGCAGAAGAAGCACCGGCUAACUCCGUGCCAGCAGCCGCGGUAAUACGGAGGGUGCAAGCGUUAAUCGGAAUUACUGGGCGUAAAGCGCACGCAGGCGGUUUGUUAAGUCAGAUGUGAAAUCCCCGGGCUCAACCUGGGAACUGCAUCUGAUACUGGCAAGCUUGAGUCUCGUAGAGGGGGGUAGAAUUCCAGGUGUAGCGGUGAAAUGCGUAGAGAUCUGGAGGAAUACCGGUGGCGAAGGCGGCCCCCUGGACGAAGACUGACGCUCAGGUGCGAAAGCGUGGGGAGCAAACAGGAUUAGAUACCCUGGUAGUCCACGCCGUAAACGAUGUCGACUUGGAGGUUGUGCCCUUGAGGCGUGGCUUCCGGAGCUAACGCGUUAAGUCGACCGCCUGGGGAGUACGGCCGCAAGGUUAAAACUCAAAUGAAUUGACGGGGGCCCGCACAAGCGGUGGAGCAUGUGGUUUAAUUCGAUGCAACGCGAAGAACCUUACCUGGUCUUGACAUCCACGGAAGUUUUCAGAGAUGAGAAUGUGCCUUCGGGAACCGUGAGACAGGUGCUGCAUGGCUGUCGUCAGCUCGUGUUGUGAAAUGUUGGGUUAAGUCCCGCAACGAGCGCAACCCUUAUCCUUUGUUGCCAGCGGUCCGGCCGGGAACUCAAAGGAGACUGCCAGUGAUAAACUGGAGGAAGGUGGGGAUGACGUCAAGUCAUCAUGGCCCUUACGACCAGGGCUACACACGUGCUACAAUGGCGCAUACAAAGAGAAGCGACCUCGCGAGAGCAAGCGGACCUCAUAAAGUGCGUCGUAGUCCGGAUUGGAGUCUGCAACUCGACUCCAUGAAGUCGGAAUCGCUAGUAAUCGUGGAUCAGAAUGCCACGGUGAAUACGUUCCCGGGCCUUGUACACACCGCCCGUCACACCAUGGGAGUGGGUUGCAAAAGAAGUAGGUAGCUUAACCUUCGGGAGGGCGCUUACCACUUUGUGAUUCAUGACUGGGGUGAAGUCGUAACAAGGUAACC
RNAcentral lists this ribosomal RNA (1491 nucleotides) under uncultured bacterium. RNAcentral describes it as "16S ribosomal RNA". It matches the Rfam family "Bacterial small subunit ribosomal RNA". The record is from RNAcentral.